RNAcentral lists this unclassified non-coding RNA (262 nucleotides) under Hevea brasiliensis (rubber tree). Lineage: Eukaryota; Viridiplantae; Streptophyta; Magnoliopsida; Malpighiales; Euphorbiaceae. The record is from RNAcentral.
GUGGAAUUUCAUAAUUCGCUAAACCAAAAGUAACUAGACAUCAAAUGAACUAUAUAUACAAGGUAAUGUCAGUUAGCAUACAUUAAUGGCUAUUAGGAGAAAGGGGGAACCAAGAUUACUACAGAAUGCCCAGAUUUCAUAGCAUGACGGUCUAACUUCUGAAUGAGUAAAUCCUACCAUUUGGUGAUGGGUAUAGGGAGGGCUUUCCACUUGACAACUCUCUAGCCUCAACCUUAGGGGGCGAGGUUAAACCCAAUUGGGG